Molecule: non-coding RNA, 222 nt
Filed under: Thiomonas bhubaneswarensis
Lineage: Bacteria; Pseudomonadati; Pseudomonadota; Betaproteobacteria; Burkholderiales
Source: RNAcentral
CAAGUCCCUUGCAGUGAAGGCGUAGCGAACCACACUGGCCCCGAGUCAUGCGCAGUGCACCGCGAGGUGCCCGGCGAAGCGUUGACAGGGGUACGUGCGGGCCAGCCAUUGAGCCGCGAAAGAAUUUCUUCCCAGGGUGCCGACGCCGUCCGAUUUGUGGAAGGCUACAUGGUCGCGCGCGCUAUCGCGAGCGCACGACCGACCCGGCGUGGUCGUAGAACC